This 163-nucleotide ribosomal RNA is filed under the name Pyrus hondoensis. Its description in RNAcentral is "5.8S ribosomal RNA". It matches the Rfam family "5.8S ribosomal RNA". From Rfam's summary of the family: 5.8S ribosomal RNA (5.8S rRNA) is a component of the large subunit of the eukaryotic ribosome. The record is from RNAcentral. Lineage: Eukaryota; Viridiplantae; Streptophyta; Magnoliopsida; Rosales; Rosaceae.
AAAGCGACUCUCGGCAACGGAUAUCUCGGCUCUCGCAUCGAUGAAGAACGUAGCGAAAUGCGAUACUUGGUGUGAAUUGCAGAAUCCCGUGAACCAUCGAGUCUUUGAACGCAAGUUGCGCCCGAAGCCUUUAGGCCGAGGGCACGCCUGCCUGGGCGUCACA